Molecule: ribosomal RNA, 467 nt
Filed under: uncultured bacterium
Lineage: Bacteria
Description: partial 16S ribosomal RNA
Rfam family: Bacterial small subunit ribosomal RNA
Source: RNAcentral
GACGAACGCUGGCGGCGUGCUUAACACAUGCAAGUCGAACGGAAAGGCCAGUGCUUGCACUGGUGCUCGAGUGGCGAACGGGUGAGUAACACGUGGGUGAUCUGCCUUGCACUCUGGGAUAAGCUUGGGAAACUGGGUCUAAUACCGGAUAGGAACCGUCUUUAGUGUGGUGGUUGGAAAGUUUUUUCGGUGCAAGAUGAGCUCGCGGCCUAUCAGCUUGUUGGUGGGGUAAUGGCCUACCAAGGCGUCGACGGGUAGCCGGCCUGAGAGGGUGUACGGCCACAUUGGGACUGAGAUACGGCCCAGACUCCUACGGGAGGCAGCAGUGGGGAAUAUUGCACAAUGGGCGGAAGCCUGAUGCAGCGACGCCGCGUGGGGGAUGACGGCCUUCGGGUUGGAAACUCCUUUCGACAGGGACGAAGCGUUAUGUGACGGUACCUGUAGAAGAAGCACCGGCUAACUACGUG